Molecule: long non-coding RNA, 1094 nt
Organism: Mesocricetus auratus (golden hamster)
Lineage: Eukaryota; Metazoa; Chordata; Mammalia; Rodentia; Cricetidae
Exons: 2
Source: RefSeq, a predicted model, not a curated record
UCAAAUCUCAGGGAAGAGUUCUCAGUCCUCUGAAUUCUGCUUAAACCUUGGCGUUCAAGACAGAGAUCGCCAGGCAAGCAUCAGGCCAGACACUGGGAGUUUAUCCUGAGAGCCUGGCCGCACGCUGACAGGGGUGACUGGGGAAUCGUUUAUAGCUCUCAAAGAUGUGAUUUGCCUCGGGCACUGCAUAUCCGAAAGGCCAAGGUCAAACACAACUUUGCCUUCUCUUCUGCUUCCUGUCCACAGCCCAAAGAUGACCUCAGGGUCUUCUUGACUCUUGUAAACAGGCUAGGCACUUUAGAAUGAGUAAAAGACCAAAGAAUAAAGAUGCUAAUGGUGAUUUUCAGUGCAAGCCACCAGGCUUUCUGCUGGGUGUUUCUAGAUCUGUCAAAUGCCAAGAGUAUGUUACAGAAGACCCUGAAGAUGGGGAGAAGAGCUACCUGAUUCAUGAAACCACUGCUGAAAACUAGGACAGCUGACAGCCAAACUCUUGAACAUCUGAGCUGGAAGAUACGUUCCACAGACCUGCAUCAGAUACCAGUGCAGAUCAUUAUGGCGCUAGCACUGAACAGAAGGGCCAGAGAUGGACGGGGUUUUUCAAGAGAUAACCACUGUACCAUUCUCUAUCAAAACUAGGUCUGCACAAUGGCUAAUAAAGUGUUCCUGCAUGGCUCUUCUUAAGAGCCCCAUUGAGCUGGUAAGAAUCUCUUGCAAUUAACACCAUGGUUUACACACAAACAUUAGAUAUUGUCUGAUUCUUGAAAAUGUUUUUGUAGCAUUCAGUUGGUUAAACAUUCUCAGCAUCCAUCUGAUUCCCAAUACCUUUUGCUUAGCUCUGGGGCACAUGCCAAGGGCACAGGCAUCAGGUUUAGAGUGGGUCUACUUGGCCCAGUUUUUUAGGCGUUGCCCUAAUUGCGUAUAAUUAUGGUCUUUUUUGUGCAUGGCACAACUAAACAUUAAAAAAUAAAAAACCUUUCCAGACAAAUUCAUGUGAAAAUUAACCAAUUUAACCCCCUAUUAGCCCAUGUUCCCAGAGUUUUGCUACAGCAAAUCUAUUAUUUGCUUAAGAACAAAUAAAUGGAUGUAUUUAUGAA